Molecule: non-coding RNA, 113 nt
Organism: Acanthosepion pharaonis
Lineage: Eukaryota; Metazoa; Mollusca; Cephalopoda; Sepiida; Sepiidae
Source: the annotation of a GenBank genome assembly
UUAUGGCCAUAUCAUGUUGAAACACCUGUUCCCAUACAAUCACCAAAGUUGAGAAACAUUGAGCCCAGUCAGUACCUAGAUGGGUCACCAUUUGGAAAUAUCAGGUGCUGUAA